GUUAGUUACAUAGAAAGGAUGAUUCCCAAGACAGAUAAGGUAUCAAAGGAGGAUGUGGAGAUUAACAUAGGAGAAGGUGAAAACCCUGAGUUCUACACAGAGGAGCAUGAAAAGCUUUUAGGUGAUUGCCAGAAUGCUUGGACUCUCUAUGUUGAUGGUUAUGGUGAAGAUGGUCAGCGUGUAUAUGAUCCUGAUAAUGGCAAGUCAUGCCAUCAGUGCAGGCAGAAAACUCUUGGUCAACGCACUGCGUGUAGCAAUUGCAAGCUCGGUCAAGGACAAUUCUGUGGAGAUUGUCUGUACAUGAGGUAUGGAGAGAAUGUCAUUGAAACAAAUGAAAAUACAAACUGGAUUUGCCCUGUCUGCCGAGGAAUAUGCAAUUGCAGUCGAUGCAGGCGUGAAAAGGGGUAUGCAGCAACUGGUGCAAUCUACAGAAAGGUACUGCGUCUUGGUUACAAAUCUGUGGCUCACUACCUUGUCAAAACUCGAAUGGUAGUGACCACGAAUAUCUAAGCUCUGCAGAUUCACCUUCCAGGAAGAGUACAGUGCCAUUCACAUAGUUCACUAAUACUCUCUCAACUUCUCAAACUGAUGAUAACAAAACUUUGAAGGGGGGAGAACGCACACAUUUUGAC
This 632-nucleotide unclassified non-coding RNA is filed under the name Hevea brasiliensis (rubber tree). The record is from RNAcentral. Lineage: Eukaryota; Viridiplantae; Streptophyta; Magnoliopsida; Malpighiales; Euphorbiaceae.